GUUGUAUGGUUAAGUGACUAAGCGUACACGGUGGAUGCCUGGGCAGUCAGAGGCGAUGAAGGACGUACUAACUUGCGAUAAGCGCAGAUAAGGCAGUAAGAGCCGUUUGAGUCUGCGAUUUCCGAAUGGGGAAACCCAACUGCAUAAGCAGUUACUGUUAACUGAAUACAUAGGUUAACAGAGCAAACCGGGGGAACUGAAACAUCUAAGUACCCCGAGGAGAAGAAAUCAACCGAGAUUCCGGUAGUAGCGGCGAGCGAACCUGGAUUAGCCCUUAAGCACUCGGUGAAGUAGGUGAACAAGCUGGAAAGCUUGGCGAUACAGGGUGAUAGCCCCGUAACCGACGCUUCAUCGAGCGUGAAAUCGAGUAGGGCGGGACACGUGAUAUCCUGUCUGAAUAUGGGGGGACCAUCCUCCAAGGCUAAAUACUCCUGACUGACCGAUAGUGAACCAGUACCGUGAGGGAAAGGCGAAAAGAACCCCUGUGAGGGGAGUGAAAUAGAACCUGAAACCGUGUACGUACAAGCAGUAGGAGCACCUUCGUGGUGUGACUGCGUACCUUUUGUAUAAUGGGUCAGCGACUUAUAUUCAGUGGCAAGGUUAACCGUAUAGGGGAGCCGUAGCGAAAGCGAGUCUUAACUGGGCGCUCAGUCUCUGGAUAUAGACCCGAAACCGGGUGAUCUAGCCAUGGGCAGGUUGAAGGUUGAGUAACAUCAACUGGAGGACCGAACCGACUAAUGUUGAAAAAUUAGCGGAUGACUUGUGGCUAGGGGUGAAAGGCCAAUCAAACUCGGAGAUAGCUGGUUCUCCCCGAAAGCUAUUUAGGUAGCGCCUCGGACGAAUACUACUGGGGGUAGAGCACUGUUAAGGCUAGGGGGUCAUCCCGACUUACCAACCCUUUGCAAACUCCGAAUACCAGUAAGUACUAUCCGGGAGACACACGGCGGGUGCUAACGUCCGUCGUGGAGAGGGAAACAACCCAGACCGCCAGCUAAGGUCCCAAAGUAUUGCUAAGUGGGAAACGAUGUGGGAAGGCUCAGACAGCUAGGAUGUUGGCUUAGAAGCAGCCAUCAUUUAAAGAAAGCGUAAUAGCUCACUAGUCGAGUCGGCCUGCGCGGAAGAUGUAACGGGGCUAAGCAAUACACCGAAGCUGCGGCAAUGUCUUUUAGACAUUGGGUAGGGGAGCGUUCUGUAAGCCGUUGAAGGUGAAUCGUAAGGUUUGCUGGAGGUAUCAGAAGUGCGAAUGCUGACAUGAGUAACGACAAAGGGGGUGAAAAACCUCCUCGCCGGAAGACCAAGGGUUCCUGUCCAACGUUAAUCGGGGCAGGGUGAGUCGACCCCUAAGGUGAGGCCGAAAGGCGUAAUCGAUGGGAAACGGGUUAAUAUUCCCGUACUUCUGACUAUUGCGAUGGGGGGACGGAGAAGGCUAGGUGGGCCAGGCGACGGUUGUCCUGGUUCAAGUGCGUAGGCUUGAGAGUUAGGUAAAUCCGGCUCUCUUUAAG
This 1502-nucleotide ribosomal RNA is filed under the name Vibrio cholerae. RNAcentral describes it as "partial 23S ribosomal RNA". It matches the Rfam family "Bacterial large subunit ribosomal RNA", at positions 1 to 1555 of the family's 2925-position model. Lineage: Bacteria; Pseudomonadati; Pseudomonadota; Gammaproteobacteria; Vibrionales; Vibrionaceae. The record is from RNAcentral.